GUAGACUUAACUUUCUUAAAAUUCAAUAAUCCAACUAAUAACUUACCUCACUUGCUUACACCUCCAGAAUCGGUCCCAUUCAUCUCCGUAAGUCAUAAAUCAUGUACACAAACUACGGAAAGAGCUAAAAUAAAAAAGUUCACAAAAUGACCAAAAGGGUCAUUACAAAACUUGGCCCAUUAAGAAAAUAAUUAUUGAGCUGAAUAUUGUAGAACACUAUUCCUAUUAAUUGAUAUUUAAUAACCCCC
RNAcentral lists this long non-coding RNA (248 nucleotides) under Capsicum annuum. RNAcentral describes it as "long non-coding RNA (CANN_LNC019343)". The record is from RNAcentral. Lineage: Eukaryota; Viridiplantae; Streptophyta; Magnoliopsida; Solanales; Solanaceae.